GCCGAGAUGGCCCAGCCCGGUAAGGCGCGAGCCUGGAAAGUUCGUGGUGAUUCACCUCGGGAGUUCAAAUCUCCCUCUCGGCGCCA
RNAcentral lists this transfer RNA (86 nucleotides) under Methanomassiliicoccales archaeon. Its description in RNAcentral is "tRNA-Ser". It matches the Rfam family "tRNA". Rfam says of the family: Transfer RNA (tRNA) molecules are approximately 80 nucleotides in length. Their secondary structure includes four short double-helical elements and three loops (D, anti-codon, and T loops). Further hydrogen bonds mediate the characteristic L-shaped molecular structure. tRNAs have two regions of fundamental functional importance: the anti-codon, which is responsible for specific mRNA codon recognition, and the 3' end, to which the tRNAs corresponding amino acid is attached (by aminoacyl-tRNA synthetases). tRNAs cope with the degeneracy of the genetic code in two manners: having more than one tRNA (with a specific anti-codon) for a particular amino acid; and 'wobble' base-pairing, i.e. permitting non-standard base-pairing at the 3rd anti-codon position. Lineage: Archaea; Methanobacteriati; Thermoplasmatota; Thermoplasmata; Methanomassiliicoccales. The record is from RNAcentral. RNAcentral also lists the same sequence under 2 other names.